CCUACGGGUGGCAGCAGUGGGGAAUAUUGGACAAUGGGGGGAACCCUGAUCCAGCCAUGCCGCGUGUGUGAAGAAGGCCCUCGGGUUGUAAAGCACUUUCAGUGAGGAAGAACGCCUGGUGGUUAAUACCCAUCAGGAAAGACAUCACUCACAGAAGAAGCACCGGCUAACUCCGUGCCAGCAGCCGCGGUAAUACGGAGGGUGCGAGCGUUAAUCGGAAUUACUGGGCGUAAAGCGCGCGUAGGUGGCUUGAUAAGCCGGUUGUGAAAGCCCCGGGCUCAACCUGGGAACGGCAUCCGGAACUGUCAAGCUAGAGUGCAGGAGAGGAAGGUAGAAUUCCCGGUGUAGCGGUGAAAUGCGUAGAGAUCGGGAGGAAUACCAGUGGCGAAGGCGGCCUUCUGGACUGACACUGACACUGAGGUGCGAAAGCGUGGGUAGCAAACAGGAUUAGAUCCCCUGUAGUC
RNAcentral lists this ribosomal RNA (464 nucleotides) under Vreelandella stevensii. RNAcentral's name for it is "partial 16S ribosomal RNA". It matches the Rfam family "Bacterial small subunit ribosomal RNA", at positions 338 to 795 of the family's 1533-position model. Lineage: Bacteria; Pseudomonadati; Pseudomonadota; Gammaproteobacteria; Oceanospirillales; Halomonadaceae. The record is from RNAcentral.